This is a non-coding RNA of Ictidomys tridecemlineatus (thirteen-lined ground squirrel), 70 nucleotides long. The record is from Rfam. Lineage: Eukaryota; Metazoa; Chordata; Mammalia; Rodentia; Sciuridae.
GGAGAUAUAGCUCAGUUGGUAGAGUGCCUGACUUGCAUGCAUAAGGCCCUGGGUUCAAUCCCCAGCUCCG